This 264-nucleotide unclassified non-coding RNA is filed under the name uncultured fungus. RNAcentral describes it as "partial contains 5.8S ribosomal RNA, internal transcribed spacer 2, and large subunit ribosomal RNA". Lineage: Eukaryota; Fungi. The record is from RNAcentral.
AACGCACAUUGCGCCCGCCAGCACUCUGGCGGGCAUGCCUGUCCGAGCGUCAUUUCAACCCUCAGGCCCUCCCCGCGGGGGCCUGGCGUUGGGGAUCAGGGGCCGCCCGGCGGUCCCUGCCCCCUAAAUUCAGUGGCGGUCGCGCCGCAGCCUCCCCUGCGUAGUAGCAACACCUCGCACCGGAGAGCGGCUCGGCCACGCCGUGAAACCCCCCAAUUUAUCAAGGUUGACCUCGGAUCAGGUAGGAAUACCCGCUGAACUUAA